AACGAACGUUGGCGGCGUGGAUGAGGCAUGCAAGUCGAACGUGAAAGCCGCAAGGUGAGUAGCGUGGCGGACGGGCGAGUAACACGUAAUCAAGCUGCCUGCGAGACGGGGAUAACCUCGGGAAACCGAGGCUAAGACCCGAUGGUCUGCCUGGGGACGCAUGUUCCUGGUAGUAAAUGGGCGGGAUCCUUCGGGAUCGCCUGCUCGCAGAGGUGAUUGCGGCCCAUCAGCUAGUUGGUAGGGUAAUGGCCUACCAAGGCAACGACGGGUAGCCGGCCUUAGAGGGUGGUCGGCCGCACUGGGACUGAGACACUGCCCAGACUCCUACGGGAGGCUGCAGUCGAGAAUCUUCCGCAAUGGGCGAAAGCCUGACGGAGCGACGCCG
This 385-nucleotide ribosomal RNA is filed under the name uncultured bacterium. RNAcentral describes it as "bacterial SSU rRNA". It matches the Rfam family "Bacterial small subunit ribosomal RNA", at positions 28 to 399 of the family's 1533-position model. The record is from RNAcentral.